GCGCCCGUAGCUCAGCUGGAUAGAGUACUGCCCUCCGAAGGCAGGGGUCAGAGGUUCGAAUCCUCUCGGGCGCG
RNAcentral lists this transfer RNA (74 nucleotides) under Woeseia oceani. It matches the Rfam family "tRNA". From Rfam's summary of the family: Transfer RNA (tRNA) molecules are approximately 80 nucleotides in length. Their secondary structure includes four short double-helical elements and three loops (D, anti-codon, and T loops). Further hydrogen bonds mediate the characteristic L-shaped molecular structure. tRNAs have two regions of fundamental functional importance: the anti-codon, which is responsible for specific mRNA codon recognition, and the 3' end, to which the tRNAs corresponding amino acid is attached (by aminoacyl-tRNA synthetases). tRNAs cope with the degeneracy of the genetic code in two manners: having more than one tRNA (with a specific anti-codon) for a particular amino acid; and 'wobble' base-pairing, i.e. permitting non-standard base-pairing at the 3rd anti-codon position. The record is from Rfam by way of RNAcentral. Lineage: Bacteria; Pseudomonadati; Pseudomonadota; Gammaproteobacteria; Woeseiales; Woeseiaceae.